Molecule: long non-coding RNA, 356 nt
Organism: Hibiscus syriacus
Lineage: Eukaryota; Viridiplantae; Streptophyta; Magnoliopsida; Malvales; Malvaceae
Exons: 3
Source: RefSeq, a predicted model, not a curated record
CAUUAUAUUCUGGGAGUUUAUAUAAUUUCCCUUUUCUCAUUUGGUUCAAAAUGAAAUAUCCUUUCAGGUGUCCUACAAGUGGUUAAGUCGUAACUUUCUGGUCUCAUCUAAUGUCGCAAAGAGGUUGCUUGCAGAGUUUGUUGAGAAACAUGGAAGUGGGUUAGAAGUUGUAUAUAGUUUGUCUGGCUGGUUGAAGAACUCUCCAUCAAACUAUCAUAUUCAGCUUGUGACAGGGCCUAAACUUCCAGAAGCCAAGCAAGAAUAUGAUUGCAAUUGCACAGUUCAUGUGUAUAGUGUGCAAGCUUGCAUCCCAAAGGACCCAGCUGCUCAAAAGUGUAUAAGUUGAACAUGUGAGA